RNAcentral lists this ribosomal RNA (1334 nucleotides) under Staphylococcus aureus. RNAcentral describes it as "bacterial SSU rRNA". It matches the Rfam family "Bacterial small subunit ribosomal RNA", at positions 81 to 1401 of the family's 1533-position model. Lineage: Bacteria; Bacillati; Bacillota; Bacilli; Caryophanales; Staphylococcaceae. The record is from RNAcentral.
CUUCUCUGAUGUUAGCGGCGGACGGGUGAGUAACACGUGGAUAACCUACCUAUAAGACUGGGAUAACUUCGGGAAACCGGAGCUAAUACCGGAUAAUAUUUUGAACCGCAUGGUUCAAAAGUGAAAGACGGUCUUGCUGUCACUUAUAGAUGGAUCCGCGCUGCAUUAGCUAGUUGGUAAGGUAACGGCUUACCAAGGCAACGAUGCAUAGCCGACCUGAGAGGGUGAUCGGCCACACUGGAACUGAGACACGGUCCAGACUCCUACGGGAGGCAGCAGUAGGGAAUCUUCCGCAAUGGGCGAAAGCCUGACGGAGCAACGCCGCGUGAGUGAUGAAGGUCUUCGGAUCGUAAAACUCUGUUAUUAGGGAAGAACAUAUGUGUAAGUAACUGUGCACAUCUUGACGGUACCUAAUCAGAAAGCCACGGCUAACUACGUGCCAGCAGCCGCGGUAAUACGUAGGUGGCAAGCGUUAUCCGGAAUUAUUGGGCGUAAAGCGCGCGUAGGCGGUUUUUUAAGUCUGAUGUGAAAGCCCACGGCUCAACCGUGGAGGGUCAUUGGAAACUGGAAAACUUGAGUGCAGAAGAGGAAAGUGGAAUUCCAUGUGUAGCGGUGAAAUGCGCAGAGAUAUGGAGGAACACCAGUGGCGAAGGCGACUUUCUGGUCUGUAACUGACGCUGAUGUGCGAAAGCGUGGGGAUCAAACAGGAUUAGAUACCCUGGUAGUCCACGCCGUAAACGAUGAGUGCUAAGUGUUAGGGGGUUUCCGCCCCUUAGUGCUGCAGCUAACGCAUUAAGCACUCCGCCUGGGGAGUACGACCGCAAGGUUGAAACUCAAAGGAAUUGACGGGGACCCGCACAAGCGGUGGAGCAUGUGGUUUAAUUCGAAGCAACGCGAAGAACCUUACCAAAUCUUGACAUCCUUUGACAACUCUAGAGAUAGAGCUUUCCCCUUCGGGGGACAAAGUGACAGGUGGUGCAUGGUUGUCGUCAGCUCGUGUCGUGAGAUGUUGGGUUAAGUCCCGCAACGAGCGCAACCCUUAAGCUUAGUUGCCAUCAUUAAGUUGGGCACUCUAAGUUGACUGCCGGUGACAAACCGGAGGAAGGUGGGGAUGACGUCAAAUCAUCAUGCCCCUUAUGAUUUGGGCUACACACGUGCUACAAUGGACAAUACAAAGGGCAGCGAAACCGCGAGGUCAAGCAAAUCCCAUAAAGUUGUUCUCAGUUCGGAUUGUAGUCUGCAACUCGACUACAUGAAGCUGGAAUCGCUAGUAAUCGUAGAUCAGCAUGCUACGGUGAAUACGUUCCCGGGUCUUGUACACACCGCCCGUCACA